RNAcentral lists this transfer RNA (90 nucleotides) under Limnobacter thiooxidans. RNAcentral's name for it is "tRNA-Ser". It matches the Rfam family "tRNA". From Rfam's summary of the family: Transfer RNA (tRNA) molecules are approximately 80 nucleotides in length. Lineage: Bacteria; Pseudomonadati; Pseudomonadota; Betaproteobacteria; Burkholderiales; Burkholderiaceae. The record is from RNAcentral. RNAcentral also lists the same sequence under 1 other name.
GGAAGCUUGGGUGAGCGGUUUAAACCAGCAGUCUUGAAAACUGCCGAGGAUGUGAGUCCUCCGUGAGUUCGAAUCUCACAGCUUCCGCCA